This 1056-nucleotide ribosomal RNA is filed under the name Brachybacterium paraconglomeratum. RNAcentral describes it as "bacterial SSU rRNA". It matches the Rfam family "Bacterial small subunit ribosomal RNA", at positions 401 to 1464 of the family's 1533-position model. Lineage: Bacteria; Bacillati; Actinomycetota; Actinomycetes; Micrococcales; Dermabacteraceae. The record is from RNAcentral.
GGGGGGGAUGACGGCCUUCGGGGUUGUAAACCCCUUUUCCAGUAGGAAGAAGCGAGAGUGACGGUACCUGCAGAAGAAGCGCCGGCUAAUUACGUGCCAGCAGCCGCGGUAAUACGUAGGGCGCAAGCGUUGUCCGGAAAUUAUUGGGCGUAAAGAGCUUGUAGGUGGCUUGUCGCGUCUGCCGUGAAAACCCCGAGGCUCAACCUCGGGCGUGCGGUGGGUACGGGCAGGCUAGAGUGUGGUAGGGGAGACUGGAACUCCUGGUGUAGCGGUGAAAUGCGCAGAUAUCAGGAAGAACACCGAUGGCGAAGGCAGGUCUCUGGGCCAUUACUGACACUGAGAAGCGAAAGCAUGGGUAGCGAACAGGAUUAGAUACCCUGGUAGUCCAUGCCGUAAACGUUGGGCACUAGGUGUGGGGGACAUUCCACGUUUUCCGCGCCGUAGCUAACGCAUUAAGUGCCCCGCCUGGGGAGUACGGCCGCAAGGCUAAAACUCAAAGGAAUUGACGGGGGCCCGCACAAGCGGCGGAGCAUGCUGAUUAAUUCGAUGCAACGCGAAGAACCUUACCAAGGCUUGACAUGCACUGGACGGCUGCAGAGAUGUGGCUUUCUUUGGACUGGUGCACAGGUGGUGCAUGGUUGUCGUCAGCUCGUGUCGUGAGAUGUUGGGUUAAGUCCCGCAACGAGCGCAACCCUCGUUCUAUGUUGCCAGCACGUGAUGGUGGGGACUCAUAGGAGACUGCCGGGGUCAACUCGGAGGAAGGUGGGGACGACGUCAAAUCAUCAUGCCCCUUAUGUCUUGGGCUUCAAGCAUGCUACAAUGGCCGGUACAAUGGGUUGCGAAACUGUGAGGUGGAGCGAAUCCCAAAAAGCCGGCCUCAGUUCGGAUUGGGGUCUGCAACUCGACCCCAUGAAGUCGGAGUCGCUAGUAAUCGCAGAUCAGCAACGCUGCGGUGAAUACGUUCCCGGGCCUUGUACACACCGCCCGUCAAGUCACGAAAGUCGGUAACACCCGAAGCCAGUGGCCCAUCCUCGUGAGGGAGCUGUCUAAAGGGUG